CCAACACUGAGCAGGUAUUUAACCGAAGAGCGCCCUGCAAUAAUAGUUCAUUUUCUGACCCUGUGUAGUGGAAUAACCCUGUGGCAGAUUGUACCAUUUUAGUUUAGUUUGUCCGUAGCGGAGCCUGUUCCUGAAGUUAUAUUUAAUCAAAUGUAGGUGUAAAGACUAAUGUUUCAGCUCAGAGGAUCUGAUUACACGGUUCAUAUUCAAAGGCACGCUGGUCAGGAGAUCAGUGUUAGCUAUCAGUGUAUGUUUUACAUGGGGGCCACUUAACAGGUUCAUGCAUCAGAGAAGUCACUGCAUCCAAUCACUGCAGCACCUUUACUGAAAAAACCAUAAAGAUUUUUAUGUUUAAAAAGCAAUGCAUUCAUUCUGACUUUGUUUUGCAUAGCAUUCAGAUGAGUCUUGUUUACAGAACUAAUGCUGGAUCGAUGCAGACUGUAGACUGGAUUUAUUGUUCUUCUGUCAGGAUGUCUUAGGAGUAAUAAACUUUUAACAAAAAAAACCCAAAACAAUAAAUGUUUCAUGUCCAAAUGUUUCACGAUGAUUUCAGCUUCAGCCAAAACUGACAAACGAUACGAGCGUUAGAAUUUUCAUGAUUCUGUCUCAUCUUCAAAGUGUUGGCAUUAACUUUAAUCCAAGUAUCAGUCCUCACCUUCCUUCUUGCAAGAUUAAAAAUGUAUAACCGAUAAGGAAGUUCAUGUCGACAGUGCAACGAUUUAAGCGAGCAGUUACAGAUAUAAGGCCAUACAGAUUCAUAUAGAUAGGUGACCAUAGCCAGUGAGUAUUUUGCACAACCUGACAAGGGAGGGAUGGAUCUGACUAUGAAACUGAGGGAUGGGUCGUAAGGAAGGCCCGUUUGCAUAAGCAAAGCAUACCCUGCUUUAAGUCCAGUUAACUCUAAAUGAACCGUAGUUUACAAAAUAAAAUUUGUGCUGAAUUAGGUCAGACUAGAAACUAUUGAAUAAGACUAUAAACUACCUGGGAAAGUCUUUACUUCACAAAUGAAGUUAGCUGAAGAGAGAUUCUCAUAGACUUCUGUACAAUCAGACUUUUUGCCACUAAUGGAGUUUCCUCUGGGAAAUGGGAGGUUUGAGGUACUUUUGUGUUCUGUGCCUCAUUUUUCAGACACAGAGACUCUUUCUGUCUUUUCUACAGUCUGUGGAUGGUAGCGGACGGUGCAGCCUUUUGACUAACUAACUCAAGUGAUGCUGAUAGUGGCUAUCAUGUUAGUAGUAGCAAGAGCCGCUUUGCCCCCAUGCUUCCUGCACCAUUCAUUUUAACAUGACUCAAUAAACUUCUGAUGUGUCUGUUUUCAGAGUUCUUGUCUAAUGUAUAAAGGUGGUAAAGCAUAAUUUAAUGUCUUUUUUUUUUUUUACUGUUUAGGUCACUCAGUUAAUGUCAGUGUGUAUUAUUUGUAUGCAGUACACAUUUGCAGUAUUUUAAAUCCUCCCUGAGAACAAAUCGUAUAAAAUUAAAAAUGGCGCGAACGGAGAAAGACCAAACAUGUAGAUUUUUGAGUACAUUUUUCUGUGUUUUGUUGUUGUUGCAGUAGCAAGAGGAAAGAUGGACAGAAGGAAACCACUAAACUCAAUCUCCCAGAGUCCUUUGCUACAGUGAGCCUGUGUAUUUUGUUUUGGUUCCAUUUGAGAAAUCUUUUAGUUUGAUAGUGUACAGUAUAAUUGGUCUAUAAUAUCUCAGUGUGUGAAUGCAGAUUAGGUGUGGUAAUUUUUAUUAAUAAUUAAUUGUCUAUCUGAAUUUAUAGCUAUUUCUGUUUGUUUUCCCUUUUUUUUUUUUUUACACAGGAAUUCAGCAUUUAUGGACAUUUUUCUGAACAAGAUGUUCUGUUUUGUUUCCCUGUUGUGUUCACAGUAAUUUCUCAUCCACACUGUUUAAUCUUUGCUCCCAUCUUCAGUAUGUUUCAGACACAUAUUGUACAUAGGCUAGUAGCUGUUUAUAUUAAUAUGUAGGGAGGAGGAAGCUUGGUGUUCUCUGGUCCCAAGUGGUUUUCACUCUGUACUUUAUCUCACUUUGGUUUGUUUUCCUAUAAUAAACAGUAAAUGUGUCAAAGAUGGGGUUUUUUCUUUUGUCUUUGUUUGUUUGUUUGUUUGUUUGUUUGUUUGUUUUUUUCAUGAGUAGAGAAAACACUGCAAAUUGAAAUCUAAGCUUUUCAACAGUUGACGUUACAGUUUUCAGUCUAGACCACAUCGAUGUUCUGUACAGCAGGGGGCAGCAGAGAGAUUUAAAAC
Astatotilapia calliptera (eastern happy) is the source of this 2249-nucleotide long non-coding RNA. NCBI's taxonomy places the organism in Eukaryota, Metazoa, Chordata, Actinopteri, Cichliformes, Cichlidae. The record is from Ensembl.